Molecule: ribosomal RNA, 301 nt
Filed under: uncultured bacterium
Lineage: Bacteria
Description: partial 16S ribosomal RNA
Rfam family: Bacterial small subunit ribosomal RNA
Source: RNAcentral
CAGCCGCCGCGGUGAGACAGAGGAUGCAAGCGUUAUCCGGAAUGAUUGGGCGUAAAGCGUCUGUAGGUGGCUUUUCAAGUCCGCCGUCAAAUCCCAGGGCUCAACCCUGGACAGGCGGUGGAAACUACCAAGCUAGAGUACGGUAGGGGCAGAGGGAAUUUCCGGUGGAGCGGUGAAAUGCGUUGAGAUCGAAAAGAACACCAACGACGAUAGCACUCUGCUGGGUCGACACUGACACUGAGAGACGAAAGCUAGGGGAGCAAAUGGGAUUAGAUACCCCCGUAGUCCCUGUCUCUUAUAC